RNAcentral lists this ribosomal RNA (292 nucleotides) under uncultured bacterium. Its description in RNAcentral is "partial 16S ribosomal RNA". RNAcentral also lists the same sequence under 2 other names. The record is from RNAcentral.
GGACUACUGGGGUAUCUAAUCCCGUUCGCUCCCCUAGCUUUCGCGCCUCAGCGUCAGAAGAGAUCCAGCACGCCGCUUUCGCCACCGGCGUUCCUUCCGAUAUCAACGCAUUUCACCGCUCCACCGGAAGUUCCGCGUGCCCCUACCUCCCUCGAGACCUUCAGUAUCCAAGGCUAUUCCCCGGUUGAGCCGGGGGCUUUCACCCCGGACUGGAAGGUCCGCCUACGCGCCCUUUAAGCCCAGUGAUUCCGAACAACGUUCGCACGGUUCGUCUUACCGCGGCGGCUGGCAC